Molecule: microRNA, 21 nt
Filed under: Sus scrofa (pig)
Lineage: Eukaryota; Metazoa; Chordata; Mammalia; Artiodactyla; Suidae
Description: ssc-mir189
Source: RNAcentral
UGUCCUACCCAAUUUCUAGUC